AAAAAGAUAAGCUAAUAAAGCUAGAAGGUUCAUACCCUUCUUAUAUAGGUAUUCAGCCCUUUUCUUUUUA
This 70-nucleotide transfer RNA is filed under the name Trigonopterus singkawangensis. Its description in RNAcentral is "tRNA-Met". The record is from RNAcentral. Lineage: Eukaryota; Metazoa; Arthropoda; Insecta; Coleoptera; Curculionidae.